This 430-nucleotide ribosomal RNA is filed under the name uncultured bacterium. RNAcentral describes it as "bacterial SSU rRNA". It matches the Rfam family "Bacterial small subunit ribosomal RNA", at positions 355 to 776 of the family's 1533-position model. The record is from RNAcentral.
UGGGGAAUUUUGCGCAAUGGGGGAAACCCUGACGCAGCAACGCCGCGUGAGUGAUGAAGGCCUUCGGGUCGUAAAGCUCUGUCAGAGGGGAAGAAGUGUGAGGUGGCUAAUAACCAUUUCACUUGACGGUACCUUCAAAGGAAGCACCGGCUAACUCCGUGCCAGCAGCCGCGGUAAUACGGAGGGUGCGAGCGUUGUUCGGAAUUAUUGGGCGUAAAGCGCGUGUAGGCGGUUUUUUAAGUCUGAUGUGAAAGCCCUGGGCUCAACCCGGGAAGUGCAUUGGAAACUGGGAGACUUGAAUACGGGAGAGGGCAGUGGAAUUCCUGGUGUAGGAGUGAAAUCCGUAGAUAUCAGGAGGAACACCGGUGGCGAAGGCGGCUGCCUGGACCGAUAUUGACGCUGAGACGCGAAAGCGUGGGGAGCAAACAGG